GUACAUGCCUCCUCCGGGAAGCCCACAGGAUUAUGUUCCUCCUGGUUUUCUCCUGCCUCGUGCUGUCUGUGUUUUCCACCAUCAAGGAGUAUGAGAAGAGCUCGGAGGGGGCCCUUUACAUCCUGGAAAUCGUGACUAUCGUGGUAUUUGGCGUGGAGUACUUCGUGCGGAUCUGGGCCGCAGGCUGCUGCUGCCGGUACCGUGGCUGGAGGGGGCGGCUCAAGUUUGCCCGGAAGCCGUUCUGUGUGAUUGACAUCAUGGUGCUCAUCGCCUCCAUUGCGGUGCUGGCCGCCGGCUCCCAGGGCAAUGUCUUUGCCACAUCUGCGCUCCGGAGCCUGCGCUUCCUGCAGAUUCUGCGGAUGAUCCGCAUGGACCGGCGGGGAGGCACCUGGAAGCUGCUGGGCUCUGUGGUCUAUGCCCACAGCAAGGAGCUGGUCACUGCCUGGUACAUCGGCUUCCUGUGUCUCAUCCUGGCCUCGUUCCUGGUGUACUUGGCAGAGAAGGGAGAGAACGACCACUUUGACACCUACGCGGAUGCACUCUGGUGGGGCCUGAUCACGCUGACCACCAUUGGCUACGGGGACAAGUACCCCCAGACCUGGAACGGCAGGCUCCUGGCGGCGACCUUCACCCUCAUCGGCGUCUCCUUCUUUGCGCUGCCUGCAGGCAUCUUGGGGUCUGGCUUUGCCCUGAAGGUUCAGGAGCAGCACAGGCAGAAGCACUUUGAGAAGAGGCGGAAUCCGGCAGCAGGCCUGAUCCAGUCGGCCUGGAGAUUCUACGCCACCAACCUCUCGCGCACAGACCUGCACUCCACGUGGCAGUACUACGAGCGCACGGUCACCGUGCCCAUGUACAGGUACCGCCGCCGGGCACCUGCCACCAAGCAUCUGUUUCAUUUUUUAUUUUCCAUUUGUUCUUAAACCCCACUUUUUGUUGUUCAUUAUUUUGAUUGAUUUUUUUCUUUAAAAUGUAUUUUUCACAAA
This 983-nucleotide small RNA is filed under the name Pongo abelii (Sumatran orangutan). RNAcentral's name for it is "processed transcript". Lineage: Eukaryota; Metazoa; Chordata; Mammalia; Primates; Hominidae. The record is from RNAcentral.